GUGGGGAAUAUUGCACAAUGGGCGCAAGCCUGAUGCAGCAACGCCGCGUGAGGGAUGACGGCCUUCGGGUUGUAAACCUCUUUUAGUAGGGAAGAAGCGUAAGUGACGGUACCUGCAGAAAAAGCACCGGCUAACUACGUGCCAGCAGCCGCGGUAAUACGUAGGGUGCAAGCGUUGUCCGGAAUUAUUGGGCGGAAAGAGCUCGUAGGCGGCUUGUCGCGUCUGCUGUGAAAUCCCGGAGCUCAACUCCGGGCGUGCAGUGGGUACGGGCAGGCUAGAGUGCGGUAGGGGAGAUUGGAAUUCCUGGUGUAGCGGUGGAAUGCGCAGAUAUCAGGAGGAACACCGAUGGCGAAGGCAGAUCUCUGGGCCGUAACUGACGCUGAGGAGCGAAAGCAUGGGGAGCGAACAGGAUUAGAUACCCGGGUAGUCC
RNAcentral lists this ribosomal RNA (430 nucleotides) under uncultured bacterium. RNAcentral's name for it is "partial 16S ribosomal RNA". It matches the Rfam family "Bacterial small subunit ribosomal RNA", at positions 354 to 796 of the family's 1533-position model. The record is from RNAcentral.